RNAcentral lists this unclassified non-coding RNA (345 nucleotides) under soil metagenome. RNAcentral's name for it is "partial contains 5.8S ribosomal RNA, internal transcribed spacer 2, and large subunit ribosomal RNA". The stretch from base 1 to 120 matches the Rfam family "5.8S ribosomal RNA", at positions 35 to 154 of the family's 154-position model. The record is from RNAcentral.
GAUGAAGAACGUAGCGAAAUGCGAUACGUAAUGUGAAUUGCAGAAUUCAGUGAAUCAUCGAGUCUUUGAACGCACAUUGCGCCCCCUGGUAUUCCGGGGGGCAUGCCUGUCCGAGCGUCAUUGCUGCCCUCAAGCACGGCUUGUGUGUUGGGCCUCCGUCCUCCUCCCGGGGGACGGACCCGAAAGGCAGCGGCGGCACCGCGUCCGGUCCUCGAGCGUAUGGGGCUUCGUCACCCGCUCUUGUAGGCCCGGCCGGCGCUUGCCGACACAUCAAUCUUUUUUCCAGGUUGACCUCGGAUCAGGUAGGGAUACCCGCUGAACUUAAGCAUAUCAAUAAGCGGAGGA